RNA transcript from Momordica charantia (bitter melon), 1897 nucleotides. RefSeq lists it as uncharacterized. The record is from RefSeq and is a predicted model, not a curated record. NCBI's taxonomy places the organism in Eukaryota, Viridiplantae, Streptophyta, Magnoliopsida, Cucurbitales, Cucurbitaceae.
GCGAACACCCACGAAGGCGGCUCACGAGUAGAUUCGGUGUUGGUUGGUUCUCAGCGGUGGCGUUGUUCCCUGAACAAUUAUCAUUACUAUGUUGACAAAGGGCAUUUUGCCAAAAAGCCGCAUCCUUGUUCUUACUAGCGAGAUAGCGUCUCUCCAUCUCUGAUUUCAGUCUAUCGUGUCGCGAUUUUGGAUUUUCUGUUGCAUCAAUCUACCCUGGUGCAAUCUUUUGACAUCUCUACAUUAAGGGUUCCUUCCUGAACUCAGUCUAUUUAUUGCUUCCAUUCUCCGGCGGCCUCUCUUUCGGUUUCGACCUCCCUCGCUCUUUCUGCGAUUCCAGAAUUGUAAAGUUGAUAUGAAAACCAAAGUCGAGGCUUUUUUCAAGCUUCGGUACUUACUAUGUUCGAGGCAAGCAUUUGCAUCCAUUUUGAGAAACCAACCUUUAGAAGCUUCGCAAAACUUAAGGGUUGCCACUUGUUCAACUGUAAGUGCCAACCAAGUUGAAGGGGUGGGAAAAGGGACGUUAGCACAUGCCAAUGACUCUUCCGAAGUUUUUCGGAGAUGGGGUUGUACUGAUAAUGAUAUUGCGAAGAUCUUUGCACGUGGGCCUUCUUUGCGCAGGAGUGACUUGAAACAACUACAAAACAAACUCCAUCUUCUAAAAGGCCUAGGCAUCACAUCUCCUGACCUUGUUAAGAUCAUCAAUUGUCGCCCUCGGUUCCUCAAAUGUCGGAUCAACAACAACUUCCAUGACCGAAUUGAGUUUUUCUUAAAAAUGUUUGAAUCUAAGGAAGUUCUUAUUAAAGCCAUUGUAAGAAACCCCUCACUUCUUACUUAUGAUUUCCAUAAUAGAAUCAAACCAGUAAUUUCGCUGUAUGAAGAAAUGGGGCUUAGUAAAAAGGAUUUGAUUCUCAUGCUUAUAUCUCGCCCCACAUUGAUCCCAAGAAGUUCAUUUAAUGAUGAGAAGCUGGAAUACAUACAAAAAACAGGACUCUCAAAGGGUGAUAAGAUGUACAAAUAUGUUGUUACAAUUAUGGGUAUCUCACGGCUUGAAACAAUCCGUCAAAAGGUUGCCAAUUUGGAAAAGUUUGGUUUCACAGAUGAUGAGAUUUUUGCUCUUCUUGGACGAUCUCCCCUUAUCUUGACUCUAUCAGUUGAUAAAGUGCAAAGGAACAUGACUUUCAUCUUGUGCACGUUGAAGUUGCCUGCUAAAGUUAUUCUUAACUAUCCCUUUUUAUUAUAUUUUAACUUGGAAGCUGUCUUGAAGCCACGGGUGCUUCUCUCUGGAAAGAUGGAGGAAAUGGGUCUGCAUUUGCAGAUCAAAGGCCGUGCAAUGCUCAGGGCCCUUAGGAUGACAGAGAAAAGGUUCUUGAAGACAUUUGUAAACAGUCAACCGAAAGUUGUUGCUGAUGAGUUGAUGGAAUUCUAUCAAAGUGCAAAAGGCGUCAAGCGUUUGGCAGAAACCUCAAAGAAGAACUGUUGUAGGGGAUUUCCUUUCUGAACCUUGUACUCUUUUGACCUUUAUGAAGCUGAUCUAAGAGAUAUCUGGCGAGGAGGUUAAACCAAUUUUAAGGCACAGUCAUCCAGCGUGUGGCCGCACUACCUCUUCUACAAUGGAUGGAAGUGAAAGCUGUAAAUUGUUUGGAGGGUGAACCGAGAACAUGUAACACGUUGUCUACUUGUUGGCAUAAAUGAUUUGAACAUUGCCUUUCCAUAAGCUCCGGAAGAGUAUGGAGGUUAAUCUUUGGGAUCUUUGACGAUCAACAGAACGGCAGCCUCGGUUCAAACUUGGAGUUACAUCAGCAACCUUCCUUGAGUAAAGACGAUGAUUGAAAAUGGCGGCUGGCAUAAAUGGCCACCAGAAAUCACCUGGUGGCAGAAGCUACUUGGGAAAGGGAGG